This 759-nucleotide ribosomal RNA is filed under the name uncultured Comamonadaceae bacterium. Its description in RNAcentral is "bacterial SSU rRNA". It matches the Rfam family "Bacterial small subunit ribosomal RNA", at positions 28 to 776 of the family's 1533-position model. The record is from RNAcentral. Lineage: Bacteria; Pseudomonadati; Pseudomonadota; Betaproteobacteria; Burkholderiales; Comamonadaceae.
GACGAACGCGGGCGGCGUGCUAAACACAUGCAAGUCGAACGAUGAAGCUCAGCUUUUGUGGGGUGGAUGAGUGGCGAACGGGUGAGUAACACGUGAGUAACCUGCCCCCUUCUUUGGGAUAACGCCCGGAAACGGGUGCUAAUACAGGAUAUUCACUGGCUUUCGCAUGGGGGUUGGUGGAAAGGUUUUUCUGGUGGGGGAUGGGCUCGCGGCCUAUCAGCUUGUUGGUGGGGUGAUGGCCUACCAAGGCUUUGACGGGUAGCCGGCCUGAGAGGGUGACCGGUCACAUUGGGACUGAGAUACGGCCCAGACUCCUACGGGAGGCAGCAGUGGGGAAUCUUCGGCAAUGGGGGCAACCCUGACCGAGCAACGCCGCGUGAGUGAAGAAGGUUUUCGGAUCGUAAAGCUCUGUUGUAAGAGAAGAACGAGUGUGAGAGUGGAAAGUUCACACUGUGACGGUAACUUACCAGAAAGGGACGGCUAACUACGUGCCAGCAGCCGCGGUAAUACGUAGGUCCCGAGCGUUAUCCGGAUUUAUUGGGCGUAAAGCGAGCGCAGGCGGUUAGAUAAGUCUGAAGUUAAAGGCUGUGGCUUAACCAUAGUACGCUUUGGAAACUGUUUAACUUGAGUGCAGAAGGGGAGAGUGGAAUUCCAUGUGUAGCGGUGAAAUGCGUAGAUAUAUGGAGGAACACCGGUGGCGAAAGCGGCUCUCUGGUCUGUAACUGACGCUGAGGCUCGAAAGCGUGGGGAGCAAACAGG